Sinocyclocheilus grahami is the source of this 113-nucleotide ribosomal RNA. The record is from Ensembl. NCBI's taxonomy places the organism in Eukaryota, Metazoa, Chordata, Actinopteri, Cypriniformes, Cyprinidae.
ACUUACGGCCACACUACCCUGAGCAUGCCUGAUCUCGUCUCAGAAGCCUACGCAUUGUUGGGCCUGGUUAGUAGUCAGAUGGGAGACCGCCUGAAUACCAGGUGCUGUAAGCU